GGCUGCGUUCAAGAUCGUAGCGGCUACGUAGGGCUCGGUAGCGCUACGAUCUUGAACGAUGUGCUAGGUUAGCCCCUACAUAGGGAAAGAUAGCAUAAAAAUUUGGUGCUAGAUUCUAAAGCAAAAUGGCGGAAAAAUGAGAAUGAUUUUAGCUUAUAUGAACGAUAAUAAUCGGAACAAGUAAUAUCUUUCCGGAAUACGUCACCUCGAUUGGUUUAUUCUACUACUAGAAGUUGUUUACGGGAUUCGAUAAGGCGAGACAAGAAGGUAAUUGUACAUGUAAUCAAGGUCGACAAGGCAUUUGUGUGAUGGAACUGAAGCCCUUCCUGUUGAUAAAUCUACAGAUAGGUCUUCCAUUGCCUUUACCUCCAAUGGGAAUAUGGCGUUCAUUGAUGCAACUUGAUUCAUGGACAACCAUGUUGAUCUUGAAACUUUUAUGCAAGUGUUCUCAUCCAAGACCUUUGUCACAAAAAUCAACUAUUUUCCAACUGAAUCAGAUUCUUGAAUGAUCAAUUUCCAUUGAGGAUGAAGGAUGAAUGAGAAAUCUGUAAAUGAUAUUUUGAUUCAAAUUAAGUUAUAUUUUAUAUAUACAUGCAAUGGUUCUGAAACAUGCUUGCUACCCAAUCUCACAUGUAUUAAAAAUUAUGCAUGCUGCAUAAGCAGUAUCUAUUGCAUUAGAUUAAAAUAAAACUUUAUGAUAUAAAGAAUUUAAAAAAAUAAAAUUAAUAUGACAGCUGGUUUUGAUUUGUUUUGUUUUGAGCUCAGCCUAGCUUUUAAAAUUCUGAUCAUCUUUUGCCUGCCGUCUGUCCAUCAGCUUAAAUUCUCCAAAACCACUGGGCCAAUUUCAAUCAAGCUUGGUACAAAUCAUCCUUGGGUGAAGGGUAUUUAAGUUUGUUCAAAUAAAGGGUCAUGCCCCCUUCUAAGGAGUCUCAGAGAUAAUCAUGAGAAGGUAAAACUAGGGUGGGGUCAUUUAAUAAUCUUUUUUUAAGAACUACAGGACUAGAAAAGUGGAAAUUUACAUGAAAUCUUCCCGACAUAGUGCAGACAUAUUAAAUACAUGCAUAUAAGUAUAUGGAACUAUUUUAGCGAGGGCUUUCAAUUUCAUAUUUUGUAUAUAGAUUCUUUAUGGCAAGACCUUUUUAUACCUUGGUGUAUGACCUUGAAAUUUUAUGGCAAGGUCUUUCAUUUCAUAUCAUAAUCUCUGACCCUGUGACUUUGGUCUUAUCCAGAACAGCAAGAUCAUGUUAGUCAUAUUGAUGUUGAGGCAUACUAAGUAUCUGUGUUGUGUGAAUUUAUUUUCAGUAUGUUGUGAUUGAGGUCAAAAUUUUUCUUCACAACUGCUGAAUAACGGCACGGCCAAGGUGACUUGUGUAAGCGAUGCAGCCCAUGGGUCUCUUGCUUUCCUUGCAUGUAUACCAGGCAAAGAUGUUUGAGAAAUAAAUUUUUGCAAUAGAAAAAGUGGGCAACUGUAAGAGAAUUUGUCACUAAUGCUUGACAAGAAAACUGAUGGCGUCUCUAGAGAUCUAAAAGUAUACAAUGUAUAUACAAACUGAACACUAAAAUUUGUUAUAUCAUGUAUUAGAAAAUACUUGGAGAAAUAGUACAUGCCUGCUUGUAUGUAUUUGGGGUUGUUUUUUUUUAUUAUUAUUGUUAUUGCAAGUUAUGUACAUCUCGUGCACUGAAAAAUGAUUGUAUUGGGGAUGGGGGUUAUUGAUUGUAUCAAGUUGAUAUUUGGAAAAGAUUGAUAUGUAGGCCUAAUAUUUCUACUUGAUGUUGAGGUAUUCUCUUUACGAGAUGUUGAAUAUUUGAAGUGAAGUGCAUGUAACGUUAAAUCUGUCAAGAACGACAUUAAAACAAAAAAUUUAUCUGCAACAACUUUUUAAUUUUUCACCAAAGAAAGCAGACGAUAUAUAGAACUUCUCUAUCCGCUGGACUGUAAAAAUCGGAUAUAGACCUGAUGUAUAUUGACAAUAUUCAGAAAUAUUGUGCAAA
Molecule: long non-coding RNA, 1992 nt
Organism: Ostrea edulis (European flat oyster)
Lineage: Eukaryota; Metazoa; Mollusca; Bivalvia; Ostreida; Ostreidae
Exons: 5
Source: RefSeq, a predicted model, not a curated record